Molecule: RNase P RNA, 416 nt
Filed under: Dehalococcoidia bacterium
Lineage: Bacteria; Bacillati; Chloroflexota; Dehalococcoidia
Description: RNase P RNA component class A
Rfam family: Bacterial RNase P class A
About the family: Ribonuclease P (RNase P) is a ubiquitous endoribonuclease, found in archaea, bacteria and eukarya as well as chloroplasts and mitochondria. Its best characterised activity is the generation of mature 5'-ends of tRNAs by cleaving the 5'-leader elements of precursor-tRNAs.
Source: RNAcentral
CGGGCUGGCCGGGUGGCCGCCGCGGGGUUUAAACGCCUCGGGGAGGAAAGUCCGGGCUCCUGGCCACCCCCCUGCCUGCGGCCCGCCGCCGGCGGCCCGGGGACGGAAAGUGGCACAGAAACAUACCGCCGCGGCCUUGAGGGUCGCGGCAAGGGUGAAAUCGGGCGGUAAGAGCGCCCGGCCGAGUGCGGCGACGCACCGGCGGCCAAACCCCACCUGGAGCAAGGCCAAAUAGGGGGACUAUGGGAGUCCGGCCCGUCCCCGGGUUGGCCGCUUGACCCCAGCGGCAACGCUGACACGCUUGUUCCGUCAAGAGCAGGCAUGGCGAUGCGGCGACUCGCCGCGCGCAGGGCUAGAUAGAUGGUCACCAUCCGCCUACGGCGGAUACAGAACCCGGCUUACAGGCCGCCCGGCGU